This 351-nucleotide ribosomal RNA is filed under the name Collodes granosus. RNAcentral's name for it is "partial small subunit ribosomal RNA". Lineage: Eukaryota; Metazoa; Arthropoda; Malacostraca; Decapoda; Inachoididae. The record is from RNAcentral.
UAUUAUACUAGAUAAAAAUUAGGUGAUUUAGAGUAGUAUUAGAUAAAACUUGAAAUUUGAAGAAUUUGGCGGUAAUUGAUCUUGUUUGAGGAAUUUGUUUUUUAAUUGAUAAUCCCCAAAAAAUCUUACUUAUUUUUAGGGUUUGUAUACCAUCAUAGAAGAUAAAUUUUAGAGAAAUUUAUUAAAUUUAAAAAGUUUAUGGAAGAUAGAUCAAGGUGCAGCGUAUAAAUAAGUUUAAAUGAGUUACAAUAAUUUAAAUUUAAAUGGAAUAGAAGAAGAAUUAUUUUUAUGAAGGUGGAUUAAAUUGUAAUAUGAUUUUAAUAUGGUUGUAUGAAAUAAGUAAUAAAUUAU